Molecule: ribosomal RNA, 801 nt
Filed under: uncultured bacterium
Lineage: Bacteria
Description: bacterial SSU rRNA
Rfam family: Bacterial small subunit ribosomal RNA
Source: RNAcentral
GCCGGCGACCGGCGCACGGGUGCGUAACACGUAUGUAAUCUGCCCAUCACAGGAGGAUAGCCCGGAGAAAUUCGGAUUAAUACUCCAUAAUAGGUUGUGAGGCAUCUCACGGCUUUGAAAGUUCCGACGGUGAUGGAUGAACAUGCGACUGAUUAGUUAGUUGGUGAGGUAACGGCUCACCAAGACCACGAUCAGUAGGGGUACUGAGAGGUUAAACCCCCACACUGGUACUGAGACACGGACCAGACUCCUACGGGAGGCAGCAGUAAGGAAUAUUGGACAAUGGCCGCAAGGCUGAUCCAGCCAUGCCGCGUGCAGGAAGACGGACCUAUGGUUUGUAAACUGCUUUUGAACUAGAGAAAACCCCUUUACGUGUAAAGGGCUGAUAGUAUAGUUAGAAUAAGCAUCGGCUAACUUCGUGCCAGCAGCCGCGGUAAGACGAAGGAUGCAAGCGUUAUCCGGAUUCAUUGGGUUUAAAGGGAGCGUAGGCGGAUUUGUAAGUCAGUGGUGAAAUCUCUUCGCUUAACGAAGAAACUGCCAUUGAUACUGCAGAUCUUGAGUACAGUUGCCGUUGGCGGAAUAUGACAUGUAGUGGUGAAAUACUUAGAUAUGUCAUAGAACACCGAUUGCGAAGGCAGCUAACGAAGCUGUAACUGACGCUGAGGCUCGAAAGUGCGGGGAUCAAACAGGAUUAGAUACCCUGGUAGUCCGCACUGUAAACGAUGAUCACUCGUUGCUGGGGGGUAACCUUCAGUGACCAAGCGAAAGCGAUAAGUGAUCCACCUGGGGAGUACGCCGGCA